RNAcentral lists this ribosomal RNA (474 nucleotides) under uncultured bacterium. RNAcentral describes it as "bacterial SSU rRNA". It matches the Rfam family "Bacterial small subunit ribosomal RNA", at positions 30 to 501 of the family's 1533-position model. The record is from RNAcentral.
AUUGAACGCUGGCGGCAUGCCUAACACAUGCAAGUCGAACGGAGGUAGGGGCAACUCUACUUCAGUGGCGGACGGGUGAGGAAUGCGUCGGAAUCUACCCUAUGGUGGGGGAUAACACAGGGAAACUUGUGCUAAUACCGCAUAAUGUCGAGAGACCAAAGCAGGGGACCGCAAGGCCUUGCGCGAUAGGAUGAGCCGACGCCCGAUUAGCUUGUUGGUAGGGUAAUGGCCUACCAAGGCGACGAUCGGUAGCUGGUCUGAGAGGAUGAUCAGCCACACUGGGACUGAGACACGGCCCAGACUCCUACGGGAGGCAGCAGUGGGGAAUAUUGGACAAUGGGCGCAAGCCUGAUCCAGCAAUGCCGCGUGUGUGAAGAAGGCCUGCGGGUUGUAAAGCACUUUUGUUCGGGAAGAAAUCAAUGCUGGUUAAUACCUGGUAUGAUGACGGUACCGAAAGAAUAAGCACCGGCUAAC